AGAUGGCGACCGGCGCACGGGUGAGUAACACGUAUCCAACCUGCCGAUAACUCGGGGGUAGCCUUUCGAAAGAAAGAUUAAUACCCGAUGGCAUAAUAGAACCGCAUGGUUUGAUUAUUAAAGAAUUUCGGUUAUCGAUGGGGAUGCGUUCCAUUAGGCAGUUGGUGGGGUAACGGCCCACCAAACCUUCGAUGGAUAGGGGUUCUGAGAGGAAGGUCCCCCACAUUGGAACUGAGACACGGUCCAA
Molecule: ribosomal RNA, 247 nt
Filed under: uncultured bacterium
Lineage: Bacteria
Description: partial 16S ribosomal RNA
Rfam family: Bacterial small subunit ribosomal RNA
Source: RNAcentral